GCGUGGAUAGUUUAGUGGCAGAAUAUGACGUUGCCAACGUUGUGACCCGGGUUCGACCCCCGGUCCGCGCA
Molecule: transfer RNA, 71 nt
Filed under: Candidatus Pacearchaeota archaeon
Lineage: Archaea; Nanobdellati
Description: tRNA-Gly
Rfam family: tRNA
About the family: Transfer RNA (tRNA) molecules are approximately 80 nucleotides in length. Their secondary structure includes four short double-helical elements and three loops (D, anti-codon, and T loops).
Source: RNAcentral